RNAcentral lists this ribosomal RNA (429 nucleotides) under Bacillota bacterium. RNAcentral describes it as "Firmicutes bacterium partial 16S ribosomal RNA". It matches the Rfam family "Bacterial small subunit ribosomal RNA", at positions 355 to 776 of the family's 1533-position model. The record is from RNAcentral. Lineage: Bacteria; Bacillati; Bacillota.
UAGGGAAUCUUCCACAAUGGGCGAAAGCCUGAUGGAGCAACGCCGCGUGAGUGAAGAAGGUUUUCGGAUCGUAAAACUCUGUUGUAAGGGAAGAACAAGUGCAGUAGUAACUGGCUGCACCUUGACGGUACCUUAUUAGAAAGCCACGGCUAACUACGUGCCAGCAGCCGCGGUAAUACGUAGGUGGCAAGCGUUGUCCGGAAUUAUUGGGCGUAAAGCGCGCGCAGGCGGUUUCUUAAGUCUGAUGUGAAAGCCCCCGGCUUAACCGGGGAGGGUCAUUGGAAACUGGGAGACUUGAGUGCAGAAGAGGAAAGUGGAAUUCCAAGUGUAGCGGUGAAAUGCGUAGAGAUUUGGAGGAACACCAGUGGCGAAGGCGACUUUCUGGUCUGUAACUGACGCUGAGGCGCGAAAGCGUGGGGAGCAAACAGG